This is a long non-coding RNA of Choloepus didactylus (southern two-toed sloth), 365 nucleotides long. RefSeq lists it as uncharacterized. NCBI's taxonomy places the organism in Eukaryota, Metazoa, Chordata, Mammalia, Pilosa, Megalonychidae. The record is from RefSeq and is a predicted model, not a curated record. The transcript is spliced from 3 exons.
GGCAGGAACAUGGGCCUGGAAGGAGGAGGGGGUGGAGAGGAGGGGAGGCCAGUGCCAGCCCAGCCCCUGCAGGGACCCCCAAGGUUCCCACAGUCCUGAUCCUGCCCAAAUUGAUGGACCCAGCAUGGGGAGGGGGGUUCUAGAGAAGCCCCAGACAGAGCGCCAGGGAUCCUGCCCAGGAACCACGUGGGACGGCUCCAGCAACUGCAGGAACAAGGUUGAGACGGAUGGCAGAGGGAGAGCUUUGGGACAAGGUGUUCUGCCCACUACCCUCAGGCCUGCUCCUCUGGAUCUGGGAAUGCACCUCCUAGGUUUAAUCCCACUGUCCCCGCCACCAUAGACACUGCUGGCACGAUGGUCACCGG